Non-coding RNA from Potamilus streckersoni, 79 nucleotides. NCBI's taxonomy places the organism in Eukaryota, Metazoa, Mollusca, Bivalvia, Unionida, Unionidae. The record is from the annotation of a GenBank genome assembly.
GACCGCUCUGGUGGCCUAGUGGUUAGAGCAUCCGCCUUGGAUGCGGAACUGGUCAUGGGUUCGAUCCCCGGUUGAGUCA